AACUUUGCGCAGAGGCAAUAUCGUAACCAAUGAGGUUUAUCCGAGGUGCGAUUAUUGCUAGUUGAAAACUUAAAUGUUUUCUAGACCCAAAAAACAAUGUUUUUACAAGUCAUGUCAGUUUCAAGUUUGGAACGUCGCGUCACG
Manduca sexta (tobacco hornworm) is the source of this 144-nucleotide small nuclear RNA. RefSeq annotates it as U4 spliceosomal RNA. The record is from RefSeq and is a predicted model, not a curated record. Lineage: Eukaryota; Metazoa; Arthropoda; Insecta; Lepidoptera; Sphingidae. The transcript has a single exon.